RNAcentral lists this transfer RNA (76 nucleotides) under Gammaproteobacteria bacterium. RNAcentral describes it as "tRNA-Gln". It matches the Rfam family "tRNA". Rfam says of the family: Transfer RNA (tRNA) molecules are approximately 80 nucleotides in length. Their secondary structure includes four short double-helical elements and three loops (D, anti-codon, and T loops). Further hydrogen bonds mediate the characteristic L-shaped molecular structure. tRNAs have two regions of fundamental functional importance: the anti-codon, which is responsible for specific mRNA codon recognition, and the 3' end, to which the tRNAs corresponding amino acid is attached (by aminoacyl-tRNA synthetases). tRNAs cope with the degeneracy of the genetic code in two manners: having more than one tRNA (with a specific anti-codon) for a particular amino acid; and 'wobble' base-pairing, i.e. permitting non-standard base-pairing at the 3rd anti-codon position. RNAcentral also lists the same sequence under 1 other name. Lineage: Bacteria; Pseudomonadati; Pseudomonadota; Gammaproteobacteria. The record is from RNAcentral.
UGGGGUGUAGCCAAGCGGUUAAGGCACUGGGUUUUGAUCCCAGCAUACCCAGGUUCGAAUCCUGGCACCCCAACCA